UACGUAGGGUGCAAGCGUUGUUCGGAAUCAUUGGGCGUAAAGCGCGUGUAGGCUGUUCGGAAAGUCGGGUGUGAAAGCCCUGGGCUCAACCUAGGAAGUGCACUCGAAACUCCCGAACUGGAGUCCCGGAGAGGAAGGCGGAAUUCUCGGUGUAGAGGUGAAAUUCGUAGAUAUCGAGAGGAACAUCGGUGGCGAAGGCGGCCUUCUGGACGGUGACUGACGCUGAGACGCGAAAGCGUGGGGAGCGAACCGG
This 253-nucleotide ribosomal RNA is filed under the name uncultured bacterium. RNAcentral's name for it is "partial 16S ribosomal RNA". It matches the Rfam family "Bacterial small subunit ribosomal RNA", at positions 524 to 776 of the family's 1533-position model. The record is from RNAcentral.